UCUCCGUUGGUGAACCAGCGGAGGGAUCAUUACAGGACUCGCAAGACUCCUACAACCAUGUGAACUUAACUAUAAGCACGUUGCUUCGGCGGGUGUCUCGGAGGGGGUUCUCCCUCCCCGAGACGCUAAACCCGCCGGCAGCCUACUAUACUCUGUCUCUUUGCGUUGGCAUCUCGAGUACAAUCAAACAAGUUAAAACUUUCAACAACGGAUCUCUUGGUUCUG
RNAcentral lists this unclassified non-coding RNA (225 nucleotides) under plant metagenome. RNAcentral's name for it is "partial contains small subunit ribosomal RNA, internal transcribed spacer 1, and 5.8S ribosomal RNA". The record is from RNAcentral.